Molecule: ribosomal RNA, 492 nt
Filed under: uncultured bacterium
Lineage: Bacteria
Description: partial 16S ribosomal RNA
Rfam family: Bacterial small subunit ribosomal RNA
Source: RNAcentral
AGUGAACGCUGGCGGUAGGCCUAACACAUGCAAGUCGAACGGCAGCACAGUAAGAGCUUGCUCUUACGGGUGGCGAGUGGCGGACGGGUGAGGAAUACAUCGGAAUCUACUUUUUCGUGGGGGAUAACGUAGGGAAACUUACGCUAAUACCGCAUACGACCUACGGGUGAAAGCAGGGGAUCUUCGGACCUUGCGCGAUUGAAUGAGCCGAUGUCGGAUUAGCUAGUUGGCGGGGUAAAGGCCCACCAAGGCGACGAUCCGUAGCUGGUCUGAGAGGAUGAGUAGCCACACUGGAACUGAGACACGGUCCAGACUCCUACGGGAGGCAGCAGUGGGGAAUAUUGGACAAUGGGCGCAAGCCUGAUCCAGCCAUACCGCGUGGGUGAAGAAGGCCUUCGGGUUGUAAAGCCCUUUUGUUGGGAAGGAAAAGCAGCAGGUUAAUACCCCGCUGUUCUGACGGUACCCAAAGAAUAAGCACCGGCUAACUUCGUG